GUCAGUAAUAAUAUAGGAUCUGUGAGAGUAAGCUGAGCUAAUUUUCAAAAAUGUUUACAAUGAACAAAGUUGUAUUGCUUCUUGUUCUAUUUGAAGCAUGUUUUGGAAUCGAAUAUUACAACACACCAAACGAUAAAAUCGAUAUGGACGCAUUGCUUAAGGAUAAGGCUAGGUUUGACGUCGUAACCGAAUGUUUUUUGGAUAUAGGACCGUGCGAUGAAUUAAUACAGAUUUUCAAAGAGAUAGCACAUAGUGCAGUAGAAGGAGCCUGUGAUAGAUGCAAUUCUGAAUUGAAGCAUUUGGCUGUUCGUUAUAUCCAGGGUCUGGAAAAGAACAAUCCCAAAUAUUACGCAGAGUUCCUGAAGAAGUACGACCCCAACGGU
Long non-coding RNA from Leptidea sinapis, 383 nucleotides. RefSeq lists it as uncharacterized. The record is from RefSeq and is a predicted model, not a curated record. NCBI's taxonomy places the organism in Eukaryota, Metazoa, Arthropoda, Insecta, Lepidoptera, Pieridae. The transcript has 3 exons.